This 136-nucleotide small nucleolar RNA is filed under the name Carlito syrichta (Philippine tarsier). RNAcentral describes it as "Small nucleolar RNA SNORA8 (ENSTSYG00000032693.1)". It matches the Rfam family "Small nucleolar RNA SNORA8". From Rfam's summary of the family: ACA8 is a member of the H/ACA class of snoRNA that guide the sites of modification of uridines to pseudouridines. The record is from Rfam by way of RNAcentral. Lineage: Eukaryota; Metazoa; Chordata; Mammalia; Primates; Tarsiidae.
UGACUUUGGUAUCUAUGCUCAACAGUGUAUUCUUUCUGGGGUGUUCCAAGGUCAGCACCACAGAAAAUCAGCAUCUGGUUUGGUUGGCUUUCUUGGUUUUGUGAAUGUUAAACCUGGCUUUUCUGUUGAUACAGUA